GGUAUCGCCGUUAGUCAUGUGCAAAUAUGGAUAGCUGUUUUAGCCGUCUUUAUUGACUGGUUCAUAAGAGUUAUCAGAUAUCACUUUGAUUAAAUUAGAGUGCUUAAAGCAAGUGUGUUACUUGGAUAUAAAUGCAUGGAAUGAUGGAAUAUGUUGUUAUUCUAUUUGUUGGUUUUUGAAUGAUAAAAUGAUUGAAAGGAACUGUUGGGGGCAUUCGUAUUGUUGUGAGAGAGGUGAAAUUCUUAGACCACAGCAAGACGAACUACUGCGAAAGCAUUUGCCAAGAAUGUUUUCAUUGAUCAAGAACGAAAGUUAGAGGUUCGAAGGCGAUCAGAUACCGCCCUAGUUCUAACCAUAAACUAUGCCAACUAGCAAUUUGCUUUGUAUUUUUUAUGACUAAGUGAGAGGCCACGGGAAACCUAAGUAGGGUUAUGGGGGAAGUAUGGUUGCAAAGCUGAAACUUAAAGGAAUUGACGGAAGGGCACCACCAGGAGUGGAGCCUGCGGCUUAAUUUGACUCAACACGGGAAAACUUACCUGGUCCUGACACUAGAAGGAUUGACAGAUUGAUAGCUCUUUCUUGAUUUGGUGGAUGGUGGUGCAUGGCCGUUCUUAGUUGGUGGAGUGAUUUGUCUGGUUAAUUCCGAUAACGAACGUGACUCUAGCCUAUUAAAUAAUACACGGAAUUUUAUCUUCCGCGGUAUUUCUUAGUGGGAUCAAGCG
This 722-nucleotide ribosomal RNA is filed under the name uncultured eukaryote. RNAcentral describes it as "SSU rRNA". It matches the Rfam family "Eukaryotic small subunit ribosomal RNA", at positions 672 to 1426 of the family's 1831-position model. The record is from RNAcentral.